Long non-coding RNA from Eurytemora carolleeae, 149 nucleotides. RefSeq lists it as uncharacterized. The transcript is spliced from 3 exons. NCBI's taxonomy places the organism in Eukaryota, Metazoa, Arthropoda, Copepoda, Calanoida, Temoridae. The record is from RefSeq and is a predicted model, not a curated record.
UAUGGAGCCUCCCCAAACCCAACGUAAUGGUGGAUCUCAGGGCAAUGUAUAUCAGCAACCCCAUCAACACAAUGGAGUGUACGACACUUACAAUCCUAGACAUGAUGAAAACAGGAGAGAAUGUAUGCUGAGAGAAACCCAGGAAUGCA